RNAcentral lists this ribosomal RNA (2891 nucleotides) under Klebsiella pneumoniae. RNAcentral's name for it is "bacterial LSU rRNA". It matches the Rfam family "Bacterial large subunit ribosomal RNA". The record is from RNAcentral. Lineage: Bacteria; Pseudomonadati; Pseudomonadota; Gammaproteobacteria; Enterobacterales; Enterobacteriaceae.
ACUAAGCGUACACGGUGGAUGCCCUGGCAGUCAGAGGCGAUGAAGGACGUGCUAAUCUGCGAAAAGCGUCGGUAAGGUGAUAUGAACCGUUAUAACCGGCGAUGUCCGAAUGGGGAAACCCAGUGCAAUUCGUUGCACUAUCGUUAACUGAAUACAUAGGUUAACGAGGCGAACCGGGGGAACUGAAACAUCUAAGUACCCCGAGGAAAAGAAAUCAACCGAGAUUCCCCCAGUAGCGGCGAGCGAACGGGGAGCAGCCCAGAGUCUGAAUCAGCUUGUGUGUUAGUGGAACGGUCUGGAAAGUCCGACGGUACAGGGUGAUAGUCCCGUACACCAAAAUGCACAGGCUGUGAACUCGAAGAGUAGGGCGGGACACGUGGUAUCCUGUCUGAAUAUGGGGGGACCAUCCUCCAAGGCUAAAUACUCCUGACUGACCGAUAGUGAACCAGUACCGUGAGGGAAAGGCGAAAAGAACCCCGGCGAGGGGAGUGAAAAAGAACCUGAAACCGUGUACGUACAAGCAGUGGGAGCACCUUCGGGUGUGACUGCGUACCUUUUGUAUAAUGGGUCAGCGACUUAUAUUCUGUAGCAAGGUUAACCGUAUAGGGGAGCCGCAGGGAAACCGAGUCUUAACUGGGCGUUAAGUUGCAGGGUAUAGACCCGAAACCCGGUGAUCUAGCCAUGGGCAGGUUGAAGGUUGGGUAACACUAACUGGAGGACCGAACCGACUAAUGUUGAAAAAUUAGCGGAUGACUUGUGGCUGGGGGUGAAAGGCCAAUCAAACCGGGAGAUAGCUGGUUCUCCCCGAAAGCUAUUUAGGUAGCGCCUCGUGAAUUCAUCUUCGGGGGUAGAGCACUGUUUCGGCUAGGGGGUCAUCCCGACUUACCAACCCGAUGCAAACUACGAAUACCGAAGAAUGUUAUCACGGGAGACACACGGCGGGUGCUAACGUCCGUCGUGAAGAGGGAAACAACCCAGACCGCCAGCUAAGGUCCCAAAGUCAUGGUUAAGUGGGAAACGAUGUGGGAAGGCACAGACAGCCAGGAUGUUGGCUUAGAAGCAGCCAUCAUUUAAAGAAAGCGUAAUAGCUCACUGGUCGAGUCGGCCUGCGCGGAAGAUGUAACGGGGCUAAACCAUGCACCGAAGCUGCGGCAGCGACACUAUGUGUUGUUGGGUAGGGGAGCGUUCUGUAAGCCUGCGAAGGUGACCUGUGAGGGUUGCUGGAGGUAUCAGAAGUGCGAAUGCUGACAUAAGUAACGAUAAAGCGGGUGAAAAGCCCGCUCGCCGGAAGACCAAGGGUUCCUGUCCAACGUUAAUCGGGGCAGGGUGAGUCGACCCCUAAGGCGAGGCCGAAAGGCGUAGUCGAUGGGAAACAGGUUAAUAUUCCUGUACUUGGUGUUACUGCGAAGGGGGGACGGAGAAGGCUAUGUUAGCCGGGCGACGGUUGUCCCGGUUUAAGCAUGUAGGCUGGUUAUCCAGGCAAAUCCGGAUAAUCAAGGCUGAGGUGUGAUGACGAGGCACUACGGUGCUGAAGUAACAAAUGCCCUGCUUCCAGGAAAAGCCUCUAAGCAUCAGGUAACAUUAAAUCGUACCCCAAACCGACACAGGUGGUCAGGUAGAGAAUACCAAGGCGCUUGAGAGAACUCGGGUGAAGGAACUAGGCAAAAUGGUGCCGUAACUUCGGGAGAAGGCACGCUGGUGUGUAGGUGAAGUCCCUGCGGAUGGAGCUGAGACCAGUCGAAGAUACCAGCUGGCUGCAACUGUUUAUUAAAAACACAGCACUGUGCAAACACGAAAGUGGACGUAUACGGUGUGACGCCUGCCCGGUGCCGGAAGGUUAAUUGAUGGGGUUAUCCGUAAGGAGAAGCUCUUGAUCGAAGCCCCGGUAAACGGCGGCCGUAACUAUAACGGUCCUAAGGUAGCGAAAUUCCUUGUCGGGUAAGUUCCGACCUGCACGAAUGGCGUAAUGAUGGCCAGGCUGUCUCCACCCGAGACUCAGUGAAAUUGAACUCGCUGUGAAGAUGCAGUGUACCCGCGGCAAGACGGAAAGACCCCGUGAACCUUUACUAUAGCUUGACACUGAACAUUGAGCCUUGAUGUGUAGGAUAGGUGGGAGGCUUUGAAGCGUGGACGCCAGUCUGCGUGGAGCCAACCUUGAAAUACCACCCUUUAAUGUUUGAUGUUCUAACGUUGGCCCCUUAUCGGGGUUGCGGACAGUGUCUGGUGGGUAGUUUGACUGGGGCGGUCUCCUCCCAAAGCGUAACGGAGGAGCACGAAGGUUAGCUAAUCCUGGUCGGACAUCAGGAGGUUAGUGCAAUGGCAUAAGCUAGCUUGACUGCGAGCGUGACGGCGCGAGCAGGUGCGAAAGCAGGUCAUAGUGAUCCGGUGGUUCUGAAUGGAAGGGCCAUCGCUCAACGGAUAAAAGGUACUCCGGGGAUAACAGGCUGAUACCGCCCAAGAGUUCAUAUCGACGGCGGUGUUUGGCACCUCGAUGUCGGCUCAUCACAUCCUGGGGCUGAAGUAGGUCCCAAGGGUAUGGCUGUUCGCCAUUUAAAGUGGUACGCGAGCUGGGUUUAGAACGUCGUGAGACAGUUCGGUCCCUAUCUGCCGUGGGCGCUGGAGAAUUGAGGGGGGCUGCUCCUAGUACGAGAGGACCGGAGUGGACGCAUCACUGGUGUUCGGGUUGUCAUGCCAAUGGCACUGCCCGGUAGCUAAAUGCGGAAGAGAUAAGUGCUGAAAGCAUCUAAGCACGAAACUUGCCCCGAGAUGAGUUCUCCCUGAGACUUUAAGUCUCCUGAAGGAACGUUGAAGACGACGACGUUGAUAGGCCGGGUGUGUAAGCGCAGCGAUGCGUUGAGCUAACCGGUACUAAUGAACCGUGAGGCUUAACC